GUGCCUGCUUUGGUGGCACAGAUGUUAAAAUUGGAAAGAUACAGAGAAGAUUAGUAUGACCCUAUGCAAGAAUGACAUGGAAAAUUGUGAAGCAUUCUAUACUUUU
RNAcentral lists this small nuclear RNA (106 nucleotides) under Dasypus novemcinctus (nine-banded armadillo). Lineage: Eukaryota; Metazoa; Chordata; Mammalia; Cingulata; Dasypodidae. The record is from RNAcentral.